Molecule: ribosomal RNA, 445 nt
Filed under: uncultured bacterium
Lineage: Bacteria
Description: partial 16S ribosomal RNA
Rfam family: Bacterial small subunit ribosomal RNA
Source: RNAcentral
GUGAGGAAUAUUGGUCAAUGGACGAGAGUCUGAACCAGCCAAGUAGCGUGAAGGAUGACUGCCCUAUGGGUUGUAAACUUCUUUUAUAAGGGAAUAAAGUGAGGGACGUGUCCCUUUUUGUAUGUACCUUAUGAAUAAGGAUCGGCUAACUCCGUGCCAGCAGCCGCGGUAAUACGGAGGAUCCAAGCGUUAUCCGGAUUUAUUGGGUUUAAAGGGAGCGUAGGUUGACAUAUAAGUCAGCUGUGAAAGUUUACGGCUCAACCGUGAAAUUGCAGUUGAUACUGUAUGUCUUGAGUGUACAAGAGGUGGGCGGAAUUCGUGGUGUAGCGGUGAAAUGCUUAGAUAUCACGAAGAACUCCAAUUGCGAAGGCAGCUCACUGGGGUACAACUGACACUGAGGCUCGAAAGUGUGGGUAUCAAACAGGAUUAGAAACCCGUGUAGUCC